Molecule: ribosomal RNA, 372 nt
Filed under: uncultured organism
Description: bacterial SSU rRNA
Rfam family: Bacterial small subunit ribosomal RNA
Source: RNAcentral
CGUAGGUGGCAAGCGUUGUCCGGAUUUACUAGGCGUAAAGAGCGCACAGGCGGUCGUUCAAGUCGCGUGUGAAAGCCCCCGGCUCAACUGGGGAGGGUCACGCGAUACUGAUCGACUCGAAGGCAGGAGAGGGUAGUGGAAUUCCCGGUGUAGUGGUGAAAUGCGUAGAUAUCGGGAGGAACACCAGUGGCGAAGGCGACUACCUGGCCUGUUCUUGACGCUGAGGCGCGAAAGCUAGGGGAGCAAACGGGAUUAGAUACCCCGGUAGUCCUAGCCGUAAACGAUGGACACUAGGUGUUGGUGGUAUCAACCCCGCCAGUGCCGAAGCUAACGCAUUAAGUGUCCCGCCUGGGGAGUACGGCCGCAAGGCUA